This 497-nucleotide ribosomal RNA is filed under the name uncultured bacterium. RNAcentral describes it as "partial 16S ribosomal RNA". It matches the Rfam family "Bacterial small subunit ribosomal RNA", at positions 28 to 507 of the family's 1533-position model. The record is from RNAcentral.
GAUGAACGCUGGCGGCGUGCCUAAUACAUGCAAGUCGAGCGAACAGACGAGGAGCUUGCUCCUCUGACGUUAGCGGCGGACGGGUGAGUAACACGUGGAUAACCUACCUAUAAGACUGGGAUAACUUCGGGAAACCGGAGCUAAUACCGGAUAAUAUAUUGAACCGCAUGGUUCAAUAGUGAAAGACGGUUUUGCUGUCACUUAUAGAUGGAUCCGCGCCGCAUUAGCUAGUUGGUAAGGUAACGGCUUACCAAGGCGACGAUGCGUAGCCGACCUGUGAGGGUGAUCGGCCACACUGGACCUGAGACACGGUCCAGACUCCUGCGGGAGGCAGCAGUAGGGAAUCUUCCGCAAUGGGCGAAAGCCUGACGGAGCAACGCCGCGUGAGUGAUGAAGGUCUUCGGAUCGUAAAACUCUGUUAUUAGGGAAGAACAAAUGUGUAAGUAACUAUGCACGUCUUGACGGUACCUAAUCAGAAAGCCACGGCUAACUACGUG